This is a long non-coding RNA of Acanthaster planci (crown-of-thorns starfish), 4004 nucleotides long. The record is from RefSeq and is a predicted model, not a curated record. Lineage: Eukaryota; Metazoa; Echinodermata; Asteroidea; Valvatida; Acanthasteridae.
AUUUUAGGUCACUGUAGUCGGCAAGCAGUUUGCAGCAGUUUUGCAUCAGUUAUCUCUGGGGAAAAAAGGGGGAAUUACUAUGAUCAAUGUGACUGGAAUUAAUUUCUUUUUAUCACUCUUUGAACAGUCACUCAAAUUUCCUCAAAUCUUGCAUUGUGUGACCCUCUUUGCCACUCAGGACAGUGUGAAACAGAACCAUUCCAUGAACGCCUCAGAUUUUGCUUUUAAAUUUUUUAUGCGAGGUGCCAGCAUUGAUGAGAAAUUAAUUGCCUAUACAUGUUGGUGCAUGGUCACUGAAAUGAGUGAGAUUGGAUGCUUUACAUUUGAAUGGGCAGAGGACGCCCUGCACUAGAUCAUAUCUUUCCCCUCACCAGUCUCCUAGCGGCAGGUGCAGUAUGUACAUAACAUGGGAAUUUGUAGUUUCUUGCUAGAGAGAGCACCAGCAUUUGUUAUCUUCAUUGAUGCAACUGUAGUGCUACACGUAGUUCAUGUACCAACCAUGCCUGUAAUUUGUGCAUCUCAGUGUCUUUUUGCUGGCCGCAGACAAUGGUGACCCCUUCAGUUGGAAUGUCAGGCCAAAGAACCUCUACUGCAUCUGUAUGCUAAAGUCUCAAGCCAUUUUCUUACAGUUCGGAUGAACUCACCGACAGUAUGCUAUGCAUGUGUUGUCAACUCUACUAGGUCGUCAUGGUUGAAGUGUUCCAUCAACUUUUUCUUAACUGACCCGUGGCUGAAAUCCAGUGAAAGUAGAAACAGUGUAUCCUUGUCAUUUGCACUGGAACCCUUGAAGAAACAGUUUGUCAAAUCUCAAAGAAGGCAGCACCAUCUGUGGAAUUCUUGAGGGCACCGGUCAAGUCUUCGAAUCUAAUCACUGAUGUCUGACUGUGUGACAUGAUCGAGUAUCCUUACUCGUCUACCUCUCUGCCUGCGGUACUAGUCAAUGUCCUGGCACUGACACCAUGCGGCACCUGUUGGAAUCAUAGCACAUCACUGAAAUGGACUCUGCAAGUUGAGGGUAACAGGGUUAUGGAAACUUUCGGAAGGGGCAUUGAAGUCUGGGAUUUGGUAGGCAGAUCAGUCCGUUGACUGGAUGUUCCAAACCAUCCAUCAUUCAGUGCUGCAAUUACAGUGGUGUGCCAUCUUGAAGAGUCCAUUUUCUUGAUGAAGAUGUACGGAUCAAGAUCUUUAAGACUCUCAUGACUCUGGUAUGUCUGGUGUGUUGCCUGCGUGUUUACUUGAAUUUUCAUGGAGGACAGUUGAGCUGUUCAUCACUGGACAUUGGAAACGUGUCAAGGAUAAGCUGUUGCAAGCAAAAAUUUCUGAUGGAGGUAAGCUGCAUUACAAUUACAUUGCAGUCAGGGAAGGGCAUGUUGAUUGAAGUAGCUGUCGAAAUUUGAUAGUAAUUUAGGUCUAUGUUGGUAUUUUAAUCUUAGCCCAUCAUGUCCUCUGUUGAAGCCAUUUCUAGUAACUUGGUCUCAAUGAGUGGACCUUCCCAUGAAAUAUCUAAAUAAGGCAUGAGCAUGCACGUUACUACCACAGGUUGGCAAAGUCGCUUAAAUCUACUAUGACGUUACAAUACAAAUCCCCAUGCAGAAGUGUGGUUCAAUCUGACCCGAGCUAGCAGCAUUAAGCAGUAGAUCCAUAAACAAGGCCCUCCUCUUGGGUCCUGGAUAUGGAUACAUGUACCUGUAUAUAGAAACAGCUUUUGAACUUUUUAAAGUUUCACCCACUGACACCCGCCUGAUUACAGCGAUAGCGCAGACAAUCGUUCCAAAAUGUCUGGCAACAAAUAGCAUUUAACAAAAUGGUUAUAAGAUUAAGAGCCCAAGCAAGAUGGCUUAAAUUGUAUUUUCUUUUAAAUUUCUUUUCCAGGAAUGCUUCGUCAAGCAACAGAAAGCAAAAGAGACAAGAAUGUUUUGAUACACAUUUGGGACAAAUUUUGUGUCGCUCUGGAGGUUCGAUAUCACACACUCAGUCCCUGACAAGGAAAAGCAGGGAUGCUGAAGGAAGUGACAAGUUGAAGUGCUGGCUCAAAAGAGAUUAUCCUGAGGUCUGCUCCAACAAACCUUUCUGGAGAAACAAGUGUAAGAUUGUCAACUCCUCCACAUAGUCAUCAAGAAGUGUGGCCAAAUCUCUGGACACUUCAGAGAAUGAUAAAUGAACCGACACGUCUGACUUGGAAGCUGCUACAGAUGUUCCCACCUCUUCAUAGGCUGUUACAGGACAGAAUGACUCUGUGCUUGAUGAGUUUUGAUGUAUAGUAAUGAGAAGAUGCUCCGGGGUUCCAAUUUGCUGCCCUCUUCAGCGUUGUCUUUUCAAGGAAACACAAAGCAUUUGGAUUUCGUAGCUGUCCUGUUCAUUACAGUUGCUUCCUUUACCUUUGUAUUAUGCCAUUUUAUUUAUAAAAAUAGCAUUUCAUCUAAAUUAAAUGUGCUCUUUUGAUAGUCAGUUUAACUAACCAGUGAGAUUAACCGUUUUGGAACAUUUUUCUAAAUGCCUUGUUUUAAUCGUAUGGCCUCUUUCGGAUAAUCCCACCAAAGUCUGAAUUACAGUCAUUUGAUUUGGAAUUGGAAGCCAUUUUUAGCACAAAAAUGAUUGGUUCUAAAAAAGUGGGCCCCGGAAUCAUAAUUACAUUAUGAGUACAUUGAGUGAAGUAUUUCUCCUGCUGUCAGCAAUUGAUUACAUUUUCAUCUCCAUUUUGGACAUCACAGCCCCCUGGUAUUUGUAUUGUUCAGAACUAAUAAACUCUCCUUUUUGGAAGUGCCUAAACAAAGUCUUGGAAGCAUAUAUUGUACAUUUUAGCAUACAAAACUUAUGGCAAACUUUGAGAUGGAAUUACUAAAAAACUGCAGGAUAUUUUUUGGGAGAACUUUUGACAACAUUUUGGAUGUACAGAUUCUCACAUUUAUGCCUUCAAAAAGUAUUCCCAGCAUUGCUGGAAAGGAACUCAUUUUCACAGCCUGUUCCUAAGUCUCAGCUGACGGCCUAAUAGUUAAAAUUAUUCAUGCUUUCCUGGACAACUGAGGGCGCUGUUGCUUGAACUCAUCUACGGAAUACAUGGUUCAGUGCAUACAUGCUAGGUGUUUCAAAUUGUGAAUGCAGUUUACCCACUGAAAAUAUUUGAGGGAGGGAUAUACACUUUCUUGUAGCUAUGCACAUUAAACAACGAUAAAUCAACAAAGAAGGGAAAACCGAAUCCAGUAAAAUCUACAAAAUUGCAAGAUUUGUGUUCAAAGCAUUGAGGCUUUCAUCCUCCUCAUUAAUAGGAAGAUACUCAUUAUUAGCAUAAAAACCAAAAAGGUAGAAGAUUAAAUGCAACACAAAGGUGCAUUUUUAGGCUGGUAUUAAAAGAAAUUGAUUGCAGCUACCCUUUAAUGAGGUUGGAGCACUUACAGUAUAUAAAAAUAUUUAAGCUAUUCCUUAAUCUUGUCAUUCAGUUUUCUCAAUCUAAUGUAAUGACAGUGGACAUUUAGCCAUUGUUGGCAAAUUUUACUGCACAAUAUUUUGCCUGGCACAUGCACAGUAACUUUUUUUCCAACAUAAAAAUUCGUACUUUGACUAGUUCUGCACUAACAAAAUCAUUGUGACUUCUCAUAAUUUCAGUUUUUUUCCUUUCAAUUAAAAAAAUAUCCAAAGCCACAAAUAAUAACAUGAAAAAGUAACACUCUGUUAUGAAAUGUUGGAUUCAAUUUAAAAAUAACCAAAAGCAUUCUUUAUUUUCUGGGAUGAAAAAGGAUGACAGCUUAAAUUUGGAUUGAAUUCAGCCAGCUAGGAGUGUAUGUUGUGACUUUAUAUGUGCAUGUGCUAUUCACUAGACUACCAAACAUAGUUUCAAUUUUGUGAUAAUCUGAUGAUCUUUAUAGGCUUAAUUAUGUGGGACAGAGGGCGCUGUCUACUUGUAGCCUGCUAAAUACUGUUAGUUAAAUUUCUAAUGACAGUGACUAAACAUCCACUGUCCUACAUGUGUAUAAUAUCCUGAAACACUCUUGCUUUUUUUCUUGUUC